UGGGGAAUAUUGGACAAUGGGCGCAAGCCUGAUCCAGCCAUGCCGCGUGAGUGAUGAAGGCCCUAGGGUUGUAAAGCUCUUUCACCGGUGAAGAUAAUGACGGUAACCGGAGAAGAAGCCCCGGCUAACUUCGUGCCAGCAGCCGCGGUAAUACGAAGGGGGCUAGCGUUGUUCGGAUUUACUGGGCGUGAAGCGCACGUAGGCGGACUUUUAAGUCAGGGGUGAAAUCCCGGGGCUCAACCCCGGAACUGCCUUUGAUACUGGAAGUCUUGAGUAUGGUAGAGGUGAGUGGAAUUCCGAGUGUAGAGGUGAAAUUCGUAGAUAUUCGGAGGAACACCAGUGGCGAAGGCGGCUCACUGGACCAUUACUGACGCUGAGGUGCGAAAGCGUGGGGAGCAAACAGG
RNAcentral lists this ribosomal RNA (404 nucleotides) under Brucella melitensis. Its description in RNAcentral is "partial 16S ribosomal RNA". It matches the Rfam family "Bacterial small subunit ribosomal RNA", at positions 355 to 776 of the family's 1533-position model. Lineage: Bacteria; Pseudomonadati; Pseudomonadota; Alphaproteobacteria; Hyphomicrobiales; Brucellaceae. RNAcentral also lists the same sequence under 2 other names. The record is from RNAcentral.